UACAGAGGUCUCAAGCGUUGUUCGGAUUCAUUGGGCGUAAAGGGUGCGUAGGUGGCGCGCUAAGUCAGGUGUGAAAUUUCGGAGCUUAACUCCGAAACUGCAUUUGAUACUGGCGUGCUUGAGGACUGGAGAGGAGACUGGAAUUUACGGUGUAGCAGUGAAAUGCGUAGAGAUCGUAAGGAAGACCAGUGGCGAAGGCGGGUCUCUGGACAGUUCCUGACACUGAUGCAC
RNAcentral lists this ribosomal RNA (231 nucleotides) under uncultured bacterium. RNAcentral describes it as "partial 16S ribosomal RNA". It matches the Rfam family "Bacterial small subunit ribosomal RNA", at positions 524 to 754 of the family's 1533-position model. The record is from RNAcentral.